UACGAAGGGGGCUAGCGUUGCUCGGAAUGACUGGGCGUAAAGGGCGCGUAGGCGGCAUACACAGUCAGAUGUGAAAUUCCUGGGCUCAACCUGGGGACUGCAUUUGAUACGUGUAAGCUAGAGUGGAGAAGAGGGGUCGUGGAAUUUUCCAGUGUAGAGGUGAAAUUCGUAGAUAUUGGAAAGAACACCGGUGGCGAAGGCGGCGACCUGGUCUUUAACUGACGCUGAGGCGCGAAAGCGUGGGGGGAGCAAACAGGAUUAGAUACCCUGGUAGUCCACGCUGUAAACGAUGUGUGCUGGAUGUUGGGAAACUUAGUUUUUCAGUGUCGUAGCUAACGCGAUAAGCACACCGCCUGGGGAGUACGGCCGCAAGGUUGAAAC
Molecule: ribosomal RNA, 381 nt
Filed under: uncultured bacterium
Lineage: Bacteria
Description: bacterial SSU rRNA
Rfam family: Bacterial small subunit ribosomal RNA
Source: RNAcentral